GCCGCCUGGCCAGACUGCCAGCACUCACCCUGGGAAAGGUGAAGCAGCACGGGGCUCCCUCUCUCCCAUCACCUCCCUGGCAGUCUCCUCCCCGCAUCUCUUGCACCUCAAACACAACUUGUUUUUUGUUGGUGUGUGCGUGCGUGUGUGCGCGGGUGGAGGUAGAGGAGGGAGGGGCGCAAGGGUGGGCGGCGGUCCCUGCCUCACCUGAGUUCUGGGAGUGGAGGAAAUUGAAAGAGUGUCACUGGUCACCGAACCCUUCUGUCCGCCAUCACGGUUCUUGUAAACAACGCCAAGAGACCGCUAGGGCAAACACUUUUCUUCUAUCUUCACUAUCACUGUCCUGUUACUAUUUUACUGUGCAUUAUUAAAUUCAGUGUAUUUUUUACAAGUACUGUGAUGUUUUCUUUGGUCUUAAUCGUCUAGUUCUCUUUCUUGUAAUAUAUAGUAACUCAUGUCUACGCUUCCGUCUCCAGUAACACCAUUUUGUUACUAAUUUCCUAUGCGUCGGUGACCAUUUACUUCUGCUACUUACUUCUUAUGUACAUGUUAUGUAUAAACUUCUAGGCAAAGAAUAAAUGAAAUGUUAAAGAGACCGCCGGGUUAAAGCAUUCUUCCUUGUUUCCUAUCGAGAAGUCUGUCUUUGAAAUUACGGCAUGAAAAUAAAUUAUGCUUCGCCUACUUGAGAA
Scylla paramamosain (green mud crab) is the source of this 689-nucleotide long non-coding RNA. RefSeq lists it as uncharacterized. Lineage: Eukaryota; Metazoa; Arthropoda; Malacostraca; Decapoda; Portunidae. The transcript is spliced from 2 exons. The record is from RefSeq and is a predicted model, not a curated record.